CACGUAGGGGGCAAGCGUUGUCCGGAAUUAUUGGGCGUAAAGAGCUCGUAGGCGGUCUGUCGCGUCGGAUGUGAAAAUCCAGGGCUCAACCCUGGACCUGCAUUCGAUACGGGCAGACUAGAGUUCGGCAGGGGAGAACGGAAUUCCUGGUGUAGCGGUGAAAUGCGCAGAUAUCAGGAGGAACACCGGUGGCGAAGGCGGUUC
RNAcentral lists this ribosomal RNA (204 nucleotides) under uncultured bacterium. Its description in RNAcentral is "partial 16S ribosomal RNA". It matches the Rfam family "Bacterial small subunit ribosomal RNA", at positions 524 to 727 of the family's 1533-position model. The record is from RNAcentral.